AGCAGGAAGUAGCUAGAUUACAAACGGUUUUGAAGAUGUUUGGAAUAGCUAGCUAGCGAUUCGCAAAUAAGGACCUUACUAACAAAUAUUUAUUUAUUUCACCUUUAUUUAACCAGAAACGGCGUGUUACAGAACUCCUGUCCAAUUUCAUUCCAGAGGAUGAGGUAGCCUUGAUGAAAAAUGGAAGGAAGCUAUAUCAAAACCAUCUGUGAAGGCUGAAUGUGCCUACACUAAUCCUUUCUGUGCCAGGGAUGAAGUGGUUUUAUGUAAAGAAAACUCAACUGAAAAAUGAGAUAUCUUAACGAAACCAUGAAAACUAUGUUCAAGCUGAAGAUAGCUGACAGGAACCCUCUAGUUCUGCCCCCCUGUUGACACAGACACGUAAACUCACCCACCACGCCUUACUGAAGACUGCUAUACAACAUUUGGCACAAAAAGACCAGACUGUGACAUCAGCCCCUCCAGCACAAGACUAUCAUCACCACAUCAAACGUCAGUGAAGACAAUGAUAAGACAUCAUGUCAUUACCCAGUUCCAACAGUAAUACACCAGUCAAUCAGGGAUUGUGUCUAAUUGGGAGAAAUAAGGAAGUGUGUAAGAAGGAGUCAGCCAACGGCGACACAGGAGUCGGAACCUAUGACAGCUCAAAGGAGGAGCAUUACCUUAAAUUGAAAAGUGCGGGACGGCUGCAGGACAGGAGUGACCCGUGGGUAAAGGAUGAGAAUAUGGAAUUUGAUUCAACUGAAGAGGAUCCCUCAUCCCUCCCAUCCUCGCACUGACUCAGAGGGCUGACCAGAUGAGCAGCAGGGACCAGACCUCAACACCAGCACCUUCCCACAAUCCCUAGCCCUUUCCUCAAACCCUGCUGCUGACACAAAGGUCCCAUUUGGACAUACAUCUGUUGACUCAACAAUUAUGAAUGGCACUCUGUUGCAGUAAUGACAACACUAUAAGAGCAGCACUAGAACAUCUUGAACUGCCUCCACGCUUCCUUUGUUUACUCUAUCUCAGGGUAGACACAUUGGUGCUUGAGACAAUGCUUUGACUGUUGUCACCCUGCGAGGGGUGAGAAGGGGGACGAUUCUCAGCACCCUGUGUUAUUCCGUUUGCCCAUUUUAUUUAGGUCCAACACCUCCCCUGUUAAGGCUGAGCUGUGAGCUUACCAUAAAUCAUCAGCAGAUAGGACAAUAUUACUGCUAAUCUUGGUAGUGGAGCCACCGGUUAACAUUCUUCAGAAGGUUCUCAUUCGUGGCUCACCCUUAGACCACUCUAUAUAUUGGAUAACCCCCCUCCCUAGAGAAAGCGAGCGUGCGGACGUAACGUGGGUUAGUUUAAAACGAUGACGUUAAAAUGUGGCAAACUGAGUACCUGAUUAUUAUUUGUGAGCUCAUUGCGUGACUGCCACAAGGCGUUUGGAAUGUUUGUUGACUGCAUCGACACAAGAGCUCAACUGUCUUAUGUGUCAUCAAGGCUGAUGAUGUUAUGGAGUUACAUUGUCAAUGCAAUAAGUCAUGUUGACUCUAUCAUGUUACUUGUACUUUCAGAUGACUAAACAAAACAAUUGUCCUCCACUGCUAACAAUGUCUGUUUGAAUAACCCAGAUACAAGGGAGUAAAAUAAAGCACCACUUAACUUA
Long non-coding RNA from Oncorhynchus tshawytscha (Chinook salmon), 1636 nucleotides. RefSeq lists it as uncharacterized. Lineage: Eukaryota; Metazoa; Chordata; Actinopteri; Salmoniformes; Salmonidae. The record is from RefSeq and is a predicted model, not a curated record. The transcript has 7 exons.